Molecule: long non-coding RNA, 158 nt
Organism: Sinocyclocheilus rhinocerous
Lineage: Eukaryota; Metazoa; Chordata; Actinopteri; Cypriniformes; Cyprinidae
Exons: 3
Source: RefSeq, a predicted model, not a curated record
CUACACUCAUAUCUCUACUCUGGCGGAUGUACAGGAGAAUGUGAUGGAAUAUCUUCAUGUGCUGAGCAGGCCAAUGGUCAUCAACCAGGAUCAUGACAUCAUUUGGACAGAGGCUUACAUGGACAGUGUGCUACCCAAUACAGCUGAGCUUUUUAACA